GACGAACGCUGGCGGCGUGCUUAACACAUGCAAGUCGAGCGGAGCGGCGAACGGGUGAGUAACGCGUUAGUAACUGCCCCCCUCUCUGGGAUAACAGUUGGAAACGGCUGCUAAUACCGGAUAGUGGGGGAUGACUCGCGUCCUAUCAGCUUGUUGGUGGGGUAGUGGCCUACCAAGGCGACGACGGGUAGCCGGCCUGGGAGGGGGACCGGCCACAUGGUGCUGGGAUACGGCCCAAGCUCCUACGGGGGGCAGCGGUGGGGAAUAUGGCGCAAUAGGGGAAACCCUGAUGCAACAACGCCGCGUGCGGGAUGACGGCCUACGGGUUGUAAACCGCGUUCAGCCAUGACGCGGUAUUGGCAGAAGAAGCACCGGCUAACUACGUGCCAGCCGCCGCGGUAAUAC
RNAcentral lists this ribosomal RNA (405 nucleotides) under uncultured bacterium. Its description in RNAcentral is "partial 16S ribosomal RNA". It matches the Rfam family "Bacterial small subunit ribosomal RNA", at positions 28 to 526 of the family's 1533-position model. The record is from RNAcentral.